AAAAAUGAGGUGACUUUACCUGUUCAACUGCUGAAUGAUAUGGGCAUGACCUAAAACUUAAUGCUGACAGAG
Gorilla gorilla gorilla (western lowland gorilla) is the source of this 72-nucleotide small nucleolar RNA. NCBI's taxonomy places the organism in Eukaryota, Metazoa, Chordata, Mammalia, Primates, Hominidae. The record is from Ensembl.